This 780-nucleotide ribosomal RNA is filed under the name uncultured Fibrobacterota bacterium. RNAcentral describes it as "bacterial SSU rRNA". It matches the Rfam family "Bacterial small subunit ribosomal RNA", at positions 1 to 799 of the family's 1533-position model. The record is from RNAcentral. Lineage: Bacteria; Pseudomonadati; Fibrobacterota.
AGGAGAGUUUGAUCCUGGCUCAGAACGAACGCUGGUGGCGUGUCUUAUACAUGCAAGUCGAGCGGUCCGCAAGGAUAGCGGCGAACGGGUGAGUAACGCGUAAGCAAUCUGCCCCGCAUAUUGGGAUAGCCGUGCCAACGCGCGGAUAAUACCGAAUAACGUGGCCCCGGACAUCCGGGGUUGACGAAAGAUUCAUCGAUGCGGGAUGAGCUUGCGUCCGAUUAGCUAGUUGGCGGGGCAACGGCCCACCAAGGCGACGAUCGGUAGCCGGCCUGAGAGGGUGAUCGGCCACAUUGGGACUGAGAUACGGCCCAGACUCCUACGGGAGGCAGCAGUAGGGAAUAUUGCACAAUGGGGGGAACCCUGAUGCAGCAACGCCACGUGUGGGAAGAAGCAUUUCGGUGUGUAAACCACUGUCGUGAGGGAAUAAUACGCGGUUUCGGCCGCGGGGGAAUGUACCUCGAAAGGAAGCACCGGCAAACUUCGUGCCAGCAGCCGCGGUAAUACGAGGGGUGCAAGCGUUGUUCGGAAUCACUGGGCGUAAAGGGAGCGUAGGCGGAGGAGCAAGCAAUCUGUACAAUACCGGGGCCCAACCCCGGACCUGCAGAUUGGACUGCUUCUCUUGGAUAGUUCAGGGGCAGGCGGAAUUCCUGGUGUAGCGGUGGAAUGCGUAGAGAUCAGGAAGAACACCGAUGGCGAAGGCAGCCUGCUGGGGACUUAUCGACGCUGAGGCUCGAAAGCGCGGGUAGCAAACAGGAUUAGAUACCCUGGUAGUCCCCU